This 497-nucleotide ribosomal RNA is filed under the name uncultured bacterium. RNAcentral describes it as "partial 16S ribosomal RNA". It matches the Rfam family "Bacterial small subunit ribosomal RNA", at positions 28 to 507 of the family's 1533-position model. The record is from RNAcentral.
GAUGAACGCUGGCGGCGUGCCUAAUACAUGCAAGUCGAGCGAACAGAUGAGGAGCUUGCUCCUCUGACGUUAGCGGCGGACGGGUGAGUAACACGUGGAUAACCUACCUAUAAGACUGGGAUAACUUCGGGAAACCGGAGCUAAUACCGGAUAAUAUAUUAAACCGCAUGGUUCAAUAGUGAAAGACGGUUUUGCUGUCACUUAUAGAUGGAUCCGCGUCGCAUUAGCUAGUUGGUAAGGUAACGGCUUACCAAGGCAACGAUGCGUAGCCGACCUGAGAGGGUGAUCGGCCACACUGGAACUGAGACACGGUCCAGACUCCUACGGGAGGCAGCAGUAGGGAAUCUUCGACAAUGGGCGAAAGCCUGACGGAGCAACGCCGCGUGAGUGAUGAAGGUCUUCGGAUCGUAAAACUCUGUUAUUAGGGAAGAACAAAUGUGUAAGUAACUAUGCACGUCUUGACGGCACCUAAUCAGAAAGCCACGGCUAACUACGUG